CUGUAAAUUCGAUCACUAACUGAUGCGAAGGAAACCAAGUUUGCUAAGUAAUUGCACUUCAGAUACUACUGAGGUUGCCUAUUCUAUCCUGGCACACGG
RNAcentral lists this small nucleolar RNA (99 nucleotides) under Sorex araneus (European shrew). The record is from RNAcentral. Lineage: Eukaryota; Metazoa; Chordata; Mammalia; Eulipotyphla; Soricidae.